RNAcentral lists this ribosomal RNA (478 nucleotides) under Blastocystis sp. RNAcentral describes it as "SSU rRNA". It matches the Rfam family "Eukaryotic small subunit ribosomal RNA", at positions 460 to 953 of the family's 1831-position model. RNAcentral also lists the same sequence under 1 other name. The record is from RNAcentral. Lineage: Eukaryota; Bigyra; Opalinata; Blastocystidae.
GGAGGUAGUGACAAUAAAUCACAAUGCGGGACUAUUUAGUUUUGCAAUUGAAUUGAGAACAAUGUACAAGAGUUAUCGAUAAACAAUUGGAGGGCAAGUCUGGUGCCAGCAGCCGCGGUAAUUCCAGCUCCAAUAGCGUAUAUUAACGUUGUUGCAGUUAAAAAGCUCGUAGUUGAAGUGUGGGAUAAUGUAUAUUGGAUCUUUUAGUGAAGAUAUAUGUUGUCCCCCCUCCAAUUUCGGUCUGUGGGUAUUAAUUUACUUGCAGUUCGUGUUGGUCAUUUACUGUGAGAAAAUUAGAGUGUUCAAAGCAGGCAUUUGCUUGAAUAUAUUAGCAUGGAAUAAUAUUAAAAGGCUUGUAUGGUCGAUUUAAUUGGUUUGUUCAUAUAAGCAAGAUUAAUAGGGACAGUUGGGGGUAUUCAUAUUCAAUAGUUAGAGGUGAAAUUCUCGGAUUUAUGGAAGAUGAACAAGUGCGAAAGCA